ACUCAAAUGAAUUGACGGGGGCCCGCACAAGCGGUGGAGCAUGUGGUUUAAUUCGACGCAACGCGCAGAACCUUACCAGCCCUUGACAUCCCGGUCGCGGACUCCAGAGAUGGAGUUCUUCAGUUCGGCUGGACCGGAGACAGGUGCUGCAUGGCUGUCGUCAGCUCGUGUCGUGAGAUGUUGGGUUAAGUCCCGCAACGAGCGCAACCCCCGUCCUUAGUUGCUACCAUUUAGUUGAGCACUCUAAGGAGACUGCCGGUGAUAAGCCGCGAGGAAGGUGGGGAUGACGUCAAGUCCUCAUGGCCCUUACGGGCUGGGCUACACACGUGCUACAAUGGCGGUGACAAUGGGAUGCUAAGGGGCGACCCUUCGCAAAUCUCAAAAAGCCGUCUCAGUUCGGAUUGGGCUCUGCAACUCGAGCCCAUGAAGUUGGAAUCGCUAGUAAUCGUGGAUCAGCACGCCACGGUGAAUACGUUCCCGGGCCUUGUACACACCGCCCGU
This 501-nucleotide ribosomal RNA is filed under the name uncultured bacterium. Its description in RNAcentral is "partial 16S ribosomal RNA". It matches the Rfam family "Bacterial small subunit ribosomal RNA", at positions 899 to 1397 of the family's 1533-position model. The record is from RNAcentral.